RNAcentral lists this ribosomal RNA (765 nucleotides) under uncultured Streptococcus sp. RNAcentral's name for it is "bacterial SSU rRNA". It matches the Rfam family "Bacterial small subunit ribosomal RNA", at positions 28 to 776 of the family's 1533-position model. Lineage: Bacteria; Bacillati; Bacillota; Bacilli; Lactobacillales; Streptococcaceae. The record is from RNAcentral.
GAUGAACGCUGGCGGCGUGCCUAAUACAUGCAAGUAGAACGCUGAAGCUUGGUGCUUGCACCGAGCGGGUGAGUUGCGAACGGGUGAGUAACGCGUAGGUAACCUGCCUCUUAGCGGGGGAUAACUAUUGGAAACGAUAGCUAAUACCGCAUAAAAGUCGACAUUGCAUGAUGUUGACUUGAAAGGUGCAAUUGCAUCACUAAGAGAUGGACCUGCGUUGUAUUAGCUAGUUGGUGAGGUAACGGCUCACCAAGGCGACGAUACAUAGCCGACCUGAGAGGGUGAUCGGCCACACUGGGACUGAGACACGGCCCAGACUCCUGCGGGAGGCAGCAGUAGGGAAUCUUCGGCAAUGGGGGCAACCCUGACCGAGCAACGCCGCGUGAGUGAAGAAGGUUUUCGGAUCGUAAAGCUCUGUUGUAAGAGAAGAACGAGUGUGAGAGUGGAAAGUUCACACUGUGACGGUAACUUACCAGAAAGGGACGGCUAACUACGUGCCAGCAGCCGCGGUAAUACGUAGGUCCCGAGCGUUAUCCGGAUUUAUUGGGCGUAAAGCGAGCGCAGGCGGUUAGAUAAGUCUGAAGUUAAAGGCUGUGGCUUAACCAUAGUACGCUUUGGAAACUGUUUAACUUGAGUGCAGAAGGGGAGAGUGGAAUUCCAUGUGUAGCGGUGAAAUGCGUAGAUAUAUGGAGGAACACCGGUGGCGAAAGCGGCUCUCUGGUCUGUAACUGACGCUGAGGCUCGAAAGCGUGGGGAGCAAACAGG